GGGUUGUGAGGUUAAGCGACUAAGCGUACACGGUGGAUGCCCUGGCAGUCAGAGGCGAUGAAGGACGUGCUAAUCUGCGAAAAGCGUCGGUAAGGUGAUAUGAACCGUUAUAACCGGCGAUGUCCGAAUGGGGAAACCCAGUGCAAUUCGUUGCACUAUCGUUAACUGAAUACAUAGGUUAACGAGGCGAACCGGGGGAACUGAAACAUCUAAGUACCCCGAGGAAAAGAAAUCAACCGAGAUUCCCCCAGUAGCGGCGAGCGAACGGGGAGCAGCCCAGAGUCUGAAUCAGCUUGUGUGUUAGUGGAACGGUCUGGAAAGUCCGACGGUACAGGGUGAUAGUCCCGUACACCAAAAUGCACAGGUUGUGAACUCGAAGAGUAGGGCGGGACACGUGGUAUCCUGUCUGAAUAUGGGGGGACCAUCCUCCAAGGCUAAAUACUCCUGACUGACCGAUAGUGAACCAGUACCGUGAGGGAAAGGCGAAAAGAACCCCGGCGAGGGGAGUGAAAAAGAACCUGAAACCGUGUACGUACAAGCAGUGGGAGCACCUUCGGGUGUGACUGCGUACCUUUUGUAUAAUGGGUCAGCGACUUAUAUUCUGUAGCAAGGUUAACCGUAUAGGGGAGCCGCAGGGAAACCGAGUCUUAACUGGGCGUUAAGUUGCAGGGUAUAGACCCGAAACCCGGUGAUCUAGCCAUGGGCAGGUUGAAGGUUGGGUAACACUAACUGGAGGACCGAACCGACUAAUGUUGAAAAAUUAGCGGAUGACUUGUGGCUGGGGGUGAAAGGCCAAUCAAACCGGGAGAUAGCUGGUUCUCCCCGAAAGCUAUUUAGGUAGCGCCUCGUGAACUCAUCUUCGGGGGUAGAGCACUGUUUCGGCUAGGGGGUCAUCCCGACUUACCAACCCGAUGCAAACUACGAAUACCGAAGAAUGUUAUCACGGGAGACACACGGCGGGUGCUAACGUCCGUCGUGAAGAGGGAAACAACCCAGACCGCCAGCUAAGGUCCCAAAGUCAUGGUUAAGUGGGAAACGAUGUGGGAAGGCACAGACAGCCAGGAUGUUGGCUUAGAAGCAGCCAUCAUUUAAAGAAAGCGUAAUAGCUCACUGGUCGAGUCGGCCUGCGCGGAAGAUGUAACGGGGCUAAACCAUGCACCGAAGCUGCGGCAGCGACACUAUGUGUUGUUGGGUAGGGGAGCGUUCUGUAAGCCUGCGAAGGUGGCCUGUGAGGGUUGCUGGAGGUAUCAGAAGUGCGAAUGCUGACAUAAGUAACGAUAAAGCGGGUGAAAAGCCCGCUCGCCGGAAGACCAAGGGUUCCUGUCCAACGUUAAUCGGGGCAGGGUGAGUCGACCCCUAAGGCGAGGCCGAAAGGCGUAGUCGAUGGGAAACAGGUUAAUAUUCCUGUACUUGGUGUUACUGCGAAGGGGGGACGGAGAAGGCUAUGUUAGCCGGGCGACGGUUGUCCCGGUUUAAGCAUGUAGGCGGAGGUUCCAGGUAAAUCCGGUACCUUUUAACGCUGAGGUGUGAUGACGAGGCACUACGGUGCUGAAGUAACAAAUGCCCUGCUUCCAGGAAAAGCCUCUAAGCAUCAGGUAACAUUAAAUCGUACCCCAAACCGACACAGGUGGUCAGGUAGAGAAUACCAAGGCGCUUGAGAGAACUCGGGUGAAGGAACUAGGCAAAAUGGUGCCGUAACUUCGGGAGAAGGCACGCUGGUGUGUAGGUGAAGUCCCUGCGGAUGGAGCUGAGACCAGUCGAAGAUACCAGCUGGCUGCAACUGUUUAUUAAAAACACAGCACUGUGCAAACACGAAAGUGGACGUAUACGGUGUGACGCCUGCCCGGUGCCGGAAGGUUAAUUGAUGGGGUUAUCCGUAAGGAGAAGCUCUUGAUCGAAGCCCCGGUAAACGGCGGCCGUAACUAUAACGGUCCUAAGGUAGCGAAAUUCCUUGUCGGGUAAGUUCCGACCUGCACGAAUGGCGUAAUGAUGGCCAGGCUGUCUCCACCCGAGACUCAGUGAAAUUGAACUCGCUGUGAAGAUGCAGUGUACCCGCGGCAAGACGGAAAGACCCCGUGAACCUUUACUAUAGCUUGACACUGAACAUUGAGCCUUGAUGUGUAGGAUAGGUGGGAGGCUUUGAAGCGUGGACGCCAGUCUGCGUGGAGCCAACCUUGAAAUACCACCCUUUAAUGUUUGAUGUUCUAACGUUGGCCCCUUAUCGGGGUUGCGGACAGUGUCUGGUGGGUAGUUUGACUGGGGCGGUCUCCUCCCAAAGAGUAACGGAGGAGCACGAAGGUUAGCUAAUCCUGGUCGGACAUCAGGAGGUUAGUGCAAUGGCAUAAGCUAGCUUGACUGCGAGCGUGACGGCGCGAGCAGGUGCGAAAGCAGGUCAUAGUGAUCCGGUGGUUCUGAAUGGAAGGGCCAUCGCUCAACGGAUAAAAGGUACUCCGGGGAUAACAGGCUGAUACCGCCCAAGAGUUCAUAUCGACGGCGGUGUUUGGCACCUCGAUGUCGGCUCAUCACAUCCUGGGGCUGAAGUAGGUCCCAAGGGUAUGGCUGUUCGCCAUUUAAAGUGGUACGCGAGCUGGGUUUAGAACGUCGUGAGACAGUUCGGUCCCUAUCUGCCGUGGGCGCUGGAGAAUUGAGGGGGGCUGCUCCUAGUACGAGAGGACCGGAGUGGACGCAUCACUGGUGUUCGGGUUGUCAUGCCAAUGGCACUGCCCGGUAGCUAAAUGCGGAAGAGAUAAGUGCUGAAAGCAUCUAAGCACGAAACUUGCCCCGAGAUGAGUUCUCCCUGAGACUUUAAGUCUCCUGAAGGAACGUUGAAGACGACGACGUUGAUAGGCCGGGUGUGUAAGCGCAGCGAUGCGUUGAGCUAACCGGUACUAAUGAACCGUGAGGCUUAACCUUACAACGCCGAAGCUGUU
This 2930-nucleotide ribosomal RNA is filed under the name Klebsiella variicola. Its description in RNAcentral is "bacterial LSU rRNA". It matches the Rfam family "Bacterial large subunit ribosomal RNA". Lineage: Bacteria; Pseudomonadati; Pseudomonadota; Gammaproteobacteria; Enterobacterales; Enterobacteriaceae. The record is from RNAcentral.